GCUGCCUUAGCUCAGUCGGUAGAGCGCCUGUUUUGUAAACAGGGGGUCGUGGGUUCGAGACCUACAGGCAGCACCA
RNAcentral lists this transfer RNA (76 nucleotides) under Candidatus Avisuccinivibrio pullicola. Its description in RNAcentral is "tRNA-Thr". It matches the Rfam family "tRNA". From Rfam's summary of the family: Transfer RNA (tRNA) molecules are approximately 80 nucleotides in length. Their secondary structure includes four short double-helical elements and three loops (D, anti-codon, and T loops). The record is from RNAcentral. Lineage: Bacteria; Pseudomonadati; Pseudomonadota; Gammaproteobacteria; Aeromonadales; Succinivibrionaceae.